This 547-nucleotide ribosomal RNA is filed under the name uncultured bacterium. Its description in RNAcentral is "bacterial SSU rRNA". It matches the Rfam family "Bacterial small subunit ribosomal RNA", at positions 355 to 896 of the family's 1533-position model. The record is from RNAcentral.
UGGGGAAUAUUGCGCAAUGGGGGGAACCCUGACGCAGCCAUGCCGCGUGAAUGAAGAAGGCCUUAGGGUUGUAAAGUUCUUUCGGUAUUGAGGAAGGUUGAUGUGAUAAUAGCACAUCAAAUUGACGUUAAAUACAGAAGAAGCACCGGCUAACUCCGUGCCAGCAGCCGCGGUAAUACGGAGGGCGCGAGCGUUAAUCGGAAUAACUGGGCGUAAAGGGCACGCAGGCGGUUAUUUAAGUGAGGUGUGAAAGCCCUGGGCUUAACCUGGGAAUUGCAUUUCAGACUGGGUAACUAGAGUACUUUAGGGAGGGGUAGAAUUCCACGUGUAGCGGUGAAAUGCGUAGAGAUGUGGAGGAAUACCGAAGGCGAAGGCAGCCCCUUGGGAAUGUACUGACGCUCAUGUGCGAAAGCGUGGGGAGCAAACAGGAUUAGAUACCCUGGUAGUCCACGCUGUAAACGCUGUCGAUUUGGGGGUUGGGGUUUAACUCUGGCGCCCGUAGCUAACGUGAUAAAUCGACCGCCUGGGGAGUACGGCCGCAAGGUUA